Small nuclear RNA from Molossus molossus (Pallas's mastiff bat), 106 nucleotides. The record is from RefSeq and is a predicted model, not a curated record. Lineage: Eukaryota; Metazoa; Chordata; Mammalia; Chiroptera; Molossidae.
GUACCCACUUCGGCAGCACAUAUAUUAAAUUGGAAAGAUACAAAGAAGAUUAGCAUGGUCCCUGCAUAAGGAUGACACACAAAUUCAUAAAGUGUUCUAUAUUUUU